CGCCGCGGUUAUACGAAGGACCCAAGUUGACAGACACCGGCGUAAAGAGUGGUUAUGGAUCAAAUUUACUAAAGUCGAACACCCCCCACACUGUUAUACGCACCCGGGGAAAUGGAAGCCCUACCACGAAAGUGACUUUAACACCCCUCCUGAACCCACGACAACCAUGAAA
RNAcentral lists this ribosomal RNA (172 nucleotides) under Parasudis truculenta (longnose greeneye). RNAcentral describes it as "partial 12S rRNA". Lineage: Eukaryota; Metazoa; Chordata; Actinopteri; Aulopiformes; Chlorophthalmidae. The record is from RNAcentral.